GAUGAAGAACGUAGCGAAAUGCGAUAAGUAAUGUGAAUUGCAGAAUUCAGUGAAUCAUCGAAUCUUUGAACGCACAUUGCGCCCGCCAGUAUUCUGGCGGGCAUGCCUGUUCGAGCGUCAUUUCAACCAUCAAGCCCCCGGCUUGUGUUGGGGACCUGCGGCUGCCGCAGGCCCUGAAAAGCAGUGGCGGGCUCGCUGUCACACCGAGCGUAGUAGCAUACAUCUCGCUCUGGGCGUGCUGCGGGUUCCGGCCGUUAAACCACCUUCAUAACCCAAGGUUGACCUCGGAUCAGGUAGGAAGACCCCCUGAACUUAAGCAUAUCAAUAAGCGGAGGA
RNAcentral lists this unclassified non-coding RNA (336 nucleotides) under soil metagenome. RNAcentral's name for it is "partial contains 5.8S ribosomal RNA, internal transcribed spacer 2, and large subunit ribosomal RNA". The stretch from base 1 to 120 matches the Rfam family "5.8S ribosomal RNA", at positions 35 to 154 of the family's 154-position model. The record is from RNAcentral.